UCGGUGUGUACAAGACCCGGGAACGUAUUCACCGCAACAUUCUGAUUUGCGAUUACUAGCGAUUCCAGCUUCAUGUAGUCGAGUUGCAGACUACAAUCCGAACUGAGACGUUAUUUUUGGGAUUUGCCCCACUUCGCAGUAUUGCCUCCCUUUGUUUACGCCAUUGUAGCACGUGUGUAGCCCUGCCCAUAAGGGGCAUGAUGAUUUGACGUCAUCCCCACCUUCCUCCAGGUUAUCCCUGGCAGUCUCUCUAGAGUGCCCAUCCGAAAUGCUGGCUACUAAAGAUAAGGGUUGCGCUCGUUGCGGGACUUAACCCAACAUCUCACGACACGAGCUGACGACAACCAUGCACCACCUGUCUCCGCUGCCCCGAAGGGAAGGCCACAUUACUGGCCGGUCAGCGGGAUGUCAAGGGCAGGUAAGGUUCUUCGCGUUA
Molecule: unclassified non-coding RNA, 436 nt
Filed under: uncultured bacterium
Lineage: Bacteria
Description: contains 16S-23S intergenic spacer region
Source: RNAcentral